Rhinichthys klamathensis goyatoka is the source of this 209-nucleotide long non-coding RNA. RefSeq lists it as uncharacterized. Lineage: Eukaryota; Metazoa; Chordata; Actinopteri; Cypriniformes; Leuciscidae. The record is from RefSeq and is a predicted model, not a curated record. The transcript has 3 exons.
CAGCCUAUGAUAAUCUCUUUUCUGGGCAGAGAAACGCUGCUCAGCAUGGAUGGGAAACAGUGCUGAAGGAGAUAGGCCUGCUGGGUGAGGUAUCCCCUGCCAGAGUGGCCAAAAAGUGGGAAAAUUUAAAAAACAAAUACAAGGUCAUCAGGAUCAUCAACAUUCAGUUGUCCUUCCUCUGGCUCCAUGAUAUCACCAUUUGUGAUGCA